GCCCCGAUAGCUCAGUUAGCAGAGCAGCAGCCUCGUAAGCUGCAGGUCAGGGGUGCAACUCCCUUUCGGGGCU
This 73-nucleotide transfer RNA is filed under the name archaeon. RNAcentral's name for it is "tRNA-Thr". It matches the Rfam family "tRNA". Rfam says of the family: Transfer RNA (tRNA) molecules are approximately 80 nucleotides in length. Their secondary structure includes four short double-helical elements and three loops (D, anti-codon, and T loops). The record is from RNAcentral. RNAcentral also lists the same sequence under 1 other name.